AAUAAUUGAUCCCAAUCCCUAACCUUAGACCAACCUUCAGCACAAAACCCUAGUCUUUUCCUUAAGAAAAAGAGACCAUCUUCUCAAUCCUGAAACCCUACACACAACAAUGGAGACUACAACAUUAACCUAGACUAGAGACCCUAGCUACUUUAUCUCCUUCUUCCACGACCAAAACCCUAGGACCUAAGAAGAACAGCCGCCAGUUCACUAUCAAGACCAGAACUGCCGCACAUUCUUCUGCCGCCGCUACAAACCAAAACUCGCCGGAAUAGACCAUCUCCAUCGCAACUCUACGCCAGCGAACUACGACCACCAGUUCUUCAACCUUAACCCGUCGGACCAGCCACACACCUGAGUUGCCGUACCCCAAUCCCUUUCCAACGUACUCGUCGGAAAAAUCUCACAGCAGCCACCAACGGACCAGUCACCCUGGACAACCCCUUUCAGAACUUAACCAAGUCACUUGAAACUGAAUCCCCAACGUUCAUAUUUGGGCUAUUUUCACUCGAUUUUAAUUCUUAAAUCUCGCAUAAAACUCAAGCCCGAGAUUUUCUGCUAUAAAUAGUCGAAUCUCAGGCGGCUUUCAGAUCAAUUCUGAUGUCAGGUUUGAGUUUCGAUGCUGAGAUGGAGCUGGUUUAGGUCAGUGUUCGAGGUUCGAUUUGCGCUCCUGCUGAUUUUCCCGUGAAUACUCAAUUUGGUGGUUGAAUUUUGUUGCUCUUCAUCAGGACAAAACUAUAGAUUUGGACUUUCUCUAAUCUAGAAGAAACUUUUGCCAGUGAGGUUUAUUUCUUCCUCCCUUACACUGUUUGUGCUUAAUCUCUUCGUUAAUCUAUUACUUCCCAAUUUGUUUGGAUGUUCAUUGCUCUAUUUUAAUGAUGUUCUACUUUUUGUUCACUCAACGUGUUCUUG
Molecule: long non-coding RNA, 912 nt
Filed under: Nicotiana benthamiana
Lineage: Eukaryota; Viridiplantae; Streptophyta; Magnoliopsida; Solanales; Solanaceae
Description: long non-coding RNA (NBEN_LNC010000)
Source: RNAcentral